AUUACUUUGGCAGAUAAGUGUGAUGAAUUUAGAAUUCAUUUAUGUAAAUAUAUUUUACAAGUAAUA
RNAcentral lists this transfer RNA (66 nucleotides) under Papuadytes bimaculatus. Its description in RNAcentral is "transfer RNA-Leu". The record is from RNAcentral. RNAcentral also lists the same sequence under 1 other name. Lineage: Eukaryota; Metazoa; Arthropoda; Insecta; Coleoptera; Dytiscidae.